Molecule: ribosomal RNA, 253 nt
Filed under: uncultured bacterium
Lineage: Bacteria
Description: partial 16S ribosomal RNA
Rfam family: Bacterial small subunit ribosomal RNA
Source: RNAcentral
UACGUAGGAGACGAGCGUUGUCCGGAGUUACUGGGCGUAAAGGGUGCGCAGGUGGCGGCGCGCGUGGGGGGUGAAAUCGCCCGGCUUAACUGGGCGGGGGCCUUCCAGACGGCGUGGCUUGAGCAGCGGAGGGGGACGUGGAAUUCCGGGUGGAGCGGUGAAAUGCGUAGAGAUCCGGAGGAACACCGAAGGCGAAGGCAGUGUCCUGGGGAGUACCUGACGCUCAGGUGCGAAAGCUAGGGGAGCGAACGGG